RNAcentral lists this ribosomal RNA (468 nucleotides) under uncultured bacterium. RNAcentral describes it as "partial 16S ribosomal RNA". It matches the Rfam family "Bacterial small subunit ribosomal RNA", at positions 28 to 507 of the family's 1533-position model. The record is from RNAcentral.
GACGAACGCUGUCGGCGUGCUUAACACAUGCAAGUCGAACGGAAAGGCCCUGCUUUUGUGGGGUGCUCGAGUGGCGAACGGGUGAGUAACACGUGAGUAACCUGCCCUUGACUUUGGUAUAACUUCAGGAAACUGGGGCUAAUACCGGAUAUGAGCUCCUGCUGCAUGGUGGGGGUUGGAAAGUUUCGGCGGUUGGGGAUGGACUCGCGGCUUAUCAGCUUGUUGGUGGGGUAGUGGCUUACCAAGGCUUUGACGGGUAGCCGGCCUGAGAGGGUGACCGGCCACAUUGGGACUGAGAUACGGCCCAGACUCCUACGGGAGGCAGCAGUGGGGAAUAUUGCACAAUGGGCGGAAGCCUGAUGCAGCAACGCCGCGUGCGGGAUGACGGCCUUCGGGUUGUAAACCGCUUUCGCCUGUGACGAAGCGUGAGUGACGGUAAUGGGUAAAGAAGCACCGGCUAACUACGUG